AGACGUGGCUCGAACAUACUGUUACAAAUCCUGCAGCAUAUAGUUUCCAACAACUAUUGCUUGAACAGGCAACACCUAUGAAAAAUAUGAGUAAUUGAUGUAGAAAAAAGUAGUGCACAGAUAAGAAAAGGUGGAAAGAUAAGAAGUUAUGUUGGUGCACCCUAGUAAGGGAUUCAUAGUCCACAAUGAGUGGUGUGCAGACCUUCUUUC
This 210-nucleotide long non-coding RNA is filed under the name Panax ginseng (ginseng). Its description in RNAcentral is "long non-coding RNA (PGIN_LNC011416)". Lineage: Eukaryota; Viridiplantae; Streptophyta; Magnoliopsida; Apiales; Araliaceae. The record is from RNAcentral.